RNAcentral lists this ribosomal RNA (2281 nucleotides) under Vibrio cholerae. Its description in RNAcentral is "bacterial LSU rRNA". The stretch from base 1 to 1668 matches the Rfam family "Bacterial large subunit ribosomal RNA". Lineage: Bacteria; Pseudomonadati; Pseudomonadota; Gammaproteobacteria; Vibrionales; Vibrionaceae. The record is from RNAcentral.
UUAAGUGACUAAGCGUACACGGUGGAUGCCUGGGCAGUCAGAGGCGAUGAAGGACGUACUAACUUGCGAUAAGCGCAGAUAAGGCAGUAAGAGCCGUUUGAGUCUGCGAUUUCCGAAUGGGGAAACCCAACUGCAUAAGCAGUUACUGUUAACUGAAUACAUAGGUUAACAGAGCAAACCGGGGGAACUGAAACAUCUAAGUACCCCGAGGAGAAGAAAUCAACCGAGAUUCCGGUAGUAGCGGCGAGCGAACCUGGAUUAGCCCUUAAGCACUCGGUGAAGUAGGUGAACAAGCUGGAAAGCUUGGCGAUACAGGGUGAUAGCCCCGUAACCGACGCUUCAUCGAGCGUGAAAUCGAGUAGGGCGGGACACGUGAUAUCCUGUCUGAAUAUGGGGGGACCAUCCUCCAAGGCUAAAUACUCCUGACUGACCGAUAGUGAACCAGUACCGUGAGGGAAAGGCGAAAAGAACCCCUGUGAGGGGAGUGAAAUAGAACCUGAAACCGUGUACGUACAAGCAGUAGGAGCACCUUCGUGGUGUGACUGCGUACCUUUUGUAUAAUGGGUCAGCGACUUAUAUUCAGUGGCAAGGUUAACCGUAUAGGGGAGCCGUAGCGAAAGCGAGUCUUAACUGGGCGCUCAGUCUCUGGAUAUAGACCCGAAACCGGGUGAUCUAGCCAUGGGCAGGUUGAAGGUUGAGUAACAUCAACUGGAGGACCGAACCGACUAAUGUUGAAAAAUUAGCGGAUGACUUGUGGCUAGGGGUGAAAGGCCAAUCAAACUCGGAGAUAGCUGGUUCUCCCCGAAAGCUAUUUAGGUAGCGCCUCGGACGAAUACUACUGGGGGUAGAGCACUGUUAAGGCUAGGGGGUCAUCCCGACUUACCAACCCUUUGCAAACUCCGAAUACCAGUAAGUACUAUCCGGGAGACACACGGCGGGUGCUAACGUCCGUCGUGGAGAGGGAAACAACCCAGACCGCCAGCUAAGGUCCCAAAGUAUUGCUAAGUGGGAAACGAUGUGGGAAGGCUCAGACAGCUAGGAUGUUGGCUUAGAAGCAGCCAUCAUUUAAAGAAAGCGUAAUAGCUCACUAGUCGAGUCGGCCUGCGCGGAAGAUGUAACGGGGCUAAGCAAUACACCGAAGCUGCGGCAAUGUCUUUUAGACAUUGGGUAGGGGAGCGUUCUGUAAGCCGUUGAAGGUGAAUCGUAAGGUUUGCUGGAGGUAUCAGAAGUGCGAAUGCUGACAUGAGUAACGACAAAGGGGGUGAAAAACCUCCUCGCCGGAAGACCAAGGGUUCCUGUCCAACGUUAAUCGGGGCAGGGUGAGUCGACCCCUAAGGUGAGGCCGAAAGGCGUAAUCGAUGGGAAACGGGUUAAUAUUCCCGUACUUCUGACUAUUGCGAUGGGGGGACGGAGAAGGCUAGGUGGGCCAGGCGACGGUUGUCCUGGUUCAAGUGCGUAGGCUUGAGAGUUAGGUAAAUCCGGCUCUCUCUAAGGCUGAGACACGNUAAUACCUUAAUCAUUUGACGUUACCUACAGAAGAAGCACCGGCUAACUCCGUGCCAGCAGCCGCGGUAAUACGGAGGGUGCAAGCGUUAAUCGGAAUUACUGGGCGUAAAGCGCAUGCAGGUGGUUUGUUAAGUCAGAUGUGAAAGCCCUGGGCUCAACCUAGGAAUCGCAUUUGAAACUGACAAGCUAGAGUACUGUAGAGGGGGGUAGAAUUUCAGGUGUAGCGGUGAAAUGCGUAGAGAUCUGAAGGAAUACCGGUGGCGAAGGCGGCCCCCUGGACAGAUACUGACACUCAGAUGCGAAAGCGUGGGGAGCAAACAGGAUUAGAUACCCUGGUAGUCCACGCCGUAAACGAUGUCUACUUGGAGGUUGUGCCCUAGAGGUGUGGCUUUCGGAGCUAACGCGUUAAGUAGACCGCCUGGGGAGUACGGUCGCAAGAUUAAAACUCAAAUGAAUUGACGGGGGCCCGCACAAGCGGUGGAGCAUGUGGUUUAAUUCGAUGCAACGCGAAGAACCUUACCUACUCUUGACAUCCAGAGAAUCUAGCGGAGACGCUGGAGUGCCUUCGGGAGCUCUGAGACAGGUGCUGCAUGGCUGUCGUCAGCUCGUGUUGUGAAAUGUUGGGUUAAGUCCCGCAACGAGCGCAACCCUUAUCCUUGUUUGCCAGCACGUAAUGGUGGGAACUCCAGGGAGACUGCCGGUGAUAAACCGGAGGAAGGUGGGGACGACGUCAAGUCAUCAUGGCCCUUACGAGUAGGGCUACACACGUGCUACA